GAUAGAGGGGAGGGGGCUACGUGGCGUGAGCUGGGCGGGAGUUGGAGACGGUGGACAGUAAGACAGCAACAACGGCGCCAGUUGACACGUCUUUUUCCUUUGACAAACAUUUAAACAGGCGCUGCGGCCGGCAACAAAAACAAUUACAAGCCAUUCAAGUUCCACCUUAACCUUCGACUUAACCUCGGGCAUAAAAGUGCAUAAAAAAAAAAUAAAAAACCAAAAGGUGUUCUCUGACGUCAUAACAGUAAAUUAGCAGCGACUUUACAAAUGCCAAGACUUGCAUAGGUAUUUUCACAAGAACUAAACACUUGAUCGUUUGAUAGAGAAGACAGUGAUCCGUUGCGAGGGACCAAAUUUGUAAAGUAUAUCAAAUGGUUAACUUAACUUAACUUUGUUGUCUUCCUAAAGAUAGUUUCUAUAAUACCUCGAAGAUACUUUCUAUUAUACCUCAAAGAUACUUUCUAUGAUACCUAUAUAUACUAUAUAAAUACAAAAGCAGCCGAAAGACGCAAGUAAAAUGCCCAAAAAUAAUAAUUACACAUAUAUGUGUGUAUAAACGAAUGCGUGUGUGUAUGGCCAUGGAACAUUUAGUGCUUAGAGAAUGGUGGAUAUUUUCUUUGGGACUCUGUGUGUGUUUAUAGAAAUCCCUGACUAGACAUAAAAUCCAGCCAGCAUGUGUAUCUAUGUACAAUAUAGAGCGAGCGGCAGACAGGACCAAAUAACGUAACCAUUUCGGGCACUUGCCAAAAGGGAAAUAAUGGGGGCGGCCGGGCUUGGGGAGGACGAGGCCAUUGUUAGCGGUUGCCCCACCACCUAACCACCCACCUUGCAGCACCACCCACUCAUCUGUCCGCAUUACGUCUAACGGUUUGUCGGUCUGCUGCCGCUUCAUCAAUUCAGUCCAUGUCCGACCAACAGAAACAAAACAGGAGUGGCCCAAAGGAUCGGAGAUUGGAGAUUCGAGAUGGCGAUGGCAAUGGCAAUGGAACUGGAGAUGGAAGUGGAGAUGGAAGUGGAGAACGGACGACAUUUCCACAUUUCCAUUUGAAUAAUUUAGACAUUUUCGUUGAUGAAUAACCGAAAGCACAUUGAUAGAUAUUCGCUUCACUCCGCUCCAUUCGAAGGACCGACCUGUUCCAGACCAUAUAUCCAUAUCCCCUAUAUAUACACACACACACGAACACACACACGCACAAGUGUAGGUCUGUCUGUCUGGAGUCAAGUGGCAAUGGAGUGGGGUUGGGUGGGGGCUUCGAGAUUGGGUCUCAAAUACUAUCCCCACAUUCGAUAUAUGUACAUAUGUACAUAUAUGUACAUUUACCUAAGCCUUUGUGCCCAAUUUCUUGCCUCUCUCGUUUGGUCAAAUUUCGGGCUUAAAGCAAUUUCCAAAUGAAUUUCACCAUUUAAACUCGAGACAGUCGUGCAUCCAAUUAGUAGACGGUUAUUGAGUUUAUAGAACGGAAACUAAUUCAUCUGCUGAGAACUCAACUAGCUAAACAUUUAAUUAAUAAUCUAUAUUAAGUGCGAUGUAAUGGAAAUUCAGUGCAAAUGCAAUAUGCAACCAUUGUUUUCACCUGAUUUAUAAUGCGCCAUAAGCAGCAGCAUAUGUGCUUCAAAUACCCCCAAACCAUUCUCACACUUGCAACAUUUUAGCAUAGUGAUGGAUUUAUGAGACAUUGUCUUGUUGAACAACGGCAUUCGGCAAAUUGUUGCCGACUUGAUUGUGAAAUAUGUGUGUUUUCAGCUGGUUAAAGUUCGUAAAUUAGUGAGGGUAGUUGGUGCUGCAUGCUCUGGAAUCCGAUGUUCUGGGUGGGGUGUUUCACUUGUAAUGAGCCAGCGCUAAUUAAUUUGUAUAAUGUGCUGACUGAGAGACGACUACCGAUAAGUGACCGUAAACAUAGUAACGAAGGCAUAUAUCCCCUUUUCUACCAACUCAGAAGUACACAAGAAUACAAAAUGCAUAGAAUUAAAAGCAUUUCGUUUUUGUGCGAUCAACUGAGAUAAUUAAGAUAACUGAGGAGUAAGCAUACAAAAUACAAAAUAAUAUACAAUAUAUAAUUAAAUGCCAUGUAAAAUAUGAAAAUGUAAACUCAACAGCACUAACUUUGCUUGGAAAUAUAUAUGCAAAAUAAGUAUCAAUUGCAUAAAGUAGUAUUAUCUAUACAGAAUAAACUAGGCAAACUAUUCAACAUAAAAAAUAUAUUUCACUUUCCAUUUAGUAAAGCGCACCCCUUUUGGUUUCAGUGUGGCGGCCAAUCAAUUAGAGGACCUAAACACCCGACUGCCCCUCGAGGUUCGCGUGGUGCGAAGAGUAAACGUUUAUAGUGCGUGUAAUCAGCUCUUAACUAUAAUUUAUAAAACUGCAUUUCUUGCACCCGUCAGUCUCCCCAUUCCCCCCCAUUCCCCCCCCUCCAUUCCCGCCAGCUUAGUUCGCAGUUUAGCGCGAAAAAAGAAGGGAGCGUGGGGGGGGUUUAAAUAACGCAUCGGCACGACGGAAGCAAUAAACUUCUGUAUAAUUAAAUAAAAUAAAAUUAUAAAUGUUAAUGAGCUUCGGCUCAGUUGGCACAUAAAAAGGGGGAACAAAAAAUGAGAAGAGAGCCUCAACUCAACUCUAUAAUCAUGGGUAUCAUGGGUAUCACGGGUAUCAUGGGUAGCUUCGUGGAUCCAUGGAUACGUGGAUCCGAACACGCACCGUUUCUCCACUCUUAUCCCCAUAUCCCCAAAGAUCCCCAAUGUGCGGGGCCUGUAAACAAUUUAGCGUGUCUCUUCAUAUUAUAUCAUUAAAAUUAAUACGAGUUUAGCGUGCCGCAAGUUAUUCACUUUGGGGCCCGCUGUCAAAGUGCGUCUACCAAUGCGAUCCAUUCCCAUUCCCAUUUCCAUUCAACUCAACUUGUCUGCUUACAGAACUUCCCAUUUUCAUUUUCAUUUUCAUUUACGCCACUGCGUGUCGCCUAACUAAUGGAAGUGACUGUGUCCAAAUCGCUGAUUGCAACACGGACAACGAUCGGAUUAACACGCCAAUUAUUCAAUGCGAAAUGAAUAUGGACUAUUCCAUUCCACCAUUGGUGCCAUUUAAAUCACAGUCGAAAUCAACAAGCUCUUAAGUUCUCUUUAUAUUUACCGAUUUCCGAUUUUUUUGGUGCUUUCACUUGCUUAUUAUUAGGACAUGUUAAUAUUUAAGAGUAGAGUAGGCCAAUUAAUCUUUUGAAUGCCUAUUUUUACAUAUUAUAUAUUUUAGCUCGUUUUAGAUUGUACCAGUUCACCUGACUCCCUGCCAUAAACCUUAAGCCACCGCACUGGACUUGAAUAAAGCGAUGUUCGUCGGUUAUGCAAAUCAGAAACUGUCCACAACUGUUCCCCACCUGUGUUUUUUGUAUUUUGUUUUUUUUUUUCACCUGGCGGGCAUUGUUAUGGUGGCUACCCCGCUUUUCCACGUUUUCCCUACUGCUGGCCUAACACGACACUGACAAAUGUUAAUCCAUUAAGGCCCUGUCAAUGGGAAAAUCUGUCACAACAGCGCACGAAUUGGUGUGGGGCUAAGGCGUAUUAGUUUCGGAUCCUGAGAGUGCAUCUUAAUUGGUGCAAGGUGCACUGCAUCAGCCCCCCUCGCCCAUUGCAAUUGUUCGCCUUGCCAAUGCACUGGGAAAAAAUCAGACAGACCAGACUGCAAAGCUUCACAUGUCACAAUUUAUUAUUCCAAAAAUAAAAGAUGAUUUUUUGUGCUCUGUGCGGGAUUUACAGAGACAAAUGCGAAUGCUAAACUUGGCCAACAACAAAUUGGCAAUCAGGCCGCUCUUUCCAUCGCUUUGCCCACUGGGCAGGUGUUGGACAACUUAAUGCGAAAUGGCUGGCAAGGAUUGGGGGAACGCGGAAGGAGGAGGAUGAGAAUGAGGAUGAGGAUGGUGGCAGCAGGAUGACGGAGGAAGGAACUGCGUAGAGCGCGUGCCGUGUAAAAUUUUUUAAGUGCCUGCUCAUUAAUCGUAAUCGUCUGGGGCCCUGACCCCUUUCCACUCCAUCGAGCGAGUGGCUCUGCUUGGAGAGCUCCAGAGCUCCAGCUCCUUUGACGCCUGCCGCUCCUGUUUCCCAGCCGUCGUGUUCUGGAAAUCGUACAAAGUGGCUAUAUAUAUAUAUUCAAAUUGAUGUGGUAAAGGGUUUUGUAAGAAACGCGAAUUUAGCUUUUUUUAGUACCUACAAAUACAUUAAGUUUGGUUUGCUCAACAUUCACGCGAAUAUAUCAUA
This is a long non-coding RNA of Drosophila yakuba, 4242 nucleotides long. RefSeq lists it as uncharacterized. Lineage: Eukaryota; Metazoa; Arthropoda; Insecta; Diptera; Drosophilidae. The record is from RefSeq and is a predicted model, not a curated record. The transcript is spliced from 2 exons.